RNAcentral lists this long non-coding RNA (2223 nucleotides) under Vigna radiata. Its description in RNAcentral is "long non-coding RNA (VRAD_LNC008450)". Lineage: Eukaryota; Viridiplantae; Streptophyta; Magnoliopsida; Fabales; Fabaceae. The record is from RNAcentral.
CCAAAGCUAGAGAAAUAAAUAAAAAAAAAAAACAACACAAUCCAAGCCCAAUAAGAAUAGGGUACAGAGAUUAAAACAAGGGUGCAGUCCGAAAUUUCUUAGUCCAGUCCAGAUAUAGGGGUGCAUCAGUAAAGGUGGGGGUGCUGAACAAAUUGAGGCCUUUCUGAUUUGAGCCCAAAACACUUUUUCUUUAGAUUUAGAAUCUGCCAGGUGCGUAAGUAUAAAAGUGGAGGUGUAGUUCGAAAUGGGCCCAAUGCCCAAACCCCUUUUUUUUUUGUUUGACAGACGCAUGAGGACUGCAGCCCAAACAAAAUGGAGGUGUAAAUGGAAUUGCAGGGUGACGGGCAGAGAAAAUCCUAGCCCAAAUGCCAGGCCCAAAACCCUCUUUGCCCUUGCUUGCAGAAAGGGAAUGGAGGUGCGAAUAGAGAAACGAAGGUGGCGGCAGGCAGAAUGUGGCCCANAGCCAGACCCACUGCUUCCUUUUGUAGGCAAAUAGNGAAUAGGGUGUGAANAACNUUGAUGUGGUGGCAAGAGAAGAGAAUGGGCCCAACAGCUGGCCCAAGCCUAACCCUAACAGAAACAUUAGGGGUUUCUCUAACUUCAUCUCAUUUGCAUUNGCGGCGUCAAGACUCAGAUCACCUUCUCCGUAAACACUCGCUUCCGCCACCCCCAGCCAUGACUCAGACUCCACCCGUNCGGCCACCGCGACUCGCGGUCCACAACAUCGCCAGGGACAAAACCCGCUGCCAGAGACAUCGCCGAUCACGACACUAGGCCCGCUUACCCUUCUUCUCAUCUUCGUGCGAGAGAAAGCUUCUUCCUCGUGAACGACAUCACUGCCGCCGAGCCAGGGCCACCGCGAGCAACGAACCAGAGCCACCGAUUCAAGUCGUCGUCGACAACAAUACUCGUUGCCGGAGCCACCAGGUUGAGGCCUUCAUCCCCGUCGAGCGCCCUUCGUCUCCAUCCUGCCGCCGCCACUGCCUAGCUCUCCCAGCCCUAGAUCUCGAUGUCGUUUGUUACCAGGACUGCCGGCGACGAUGCCGGUCACUAUCGGGGUCUCGUUCAGUGCCCUGCUUCGCUUCGAACAGAGCAAUCCCACACCAACGUCCUCUACUGUCGUGAUUUCUCGAGAUUUCCAAUCACUCACGUUCCGCCAAGCUAGGGUCGACACCGGCGGCGUCGGGUUCUUGUCACCACCAACGCGUCGCUGCCACCGUCAAACCAGCCACCAGUGUUGACCAGAAUCGAUGGCACUGCGCUCCUUCUUCCUCCUUGUGGGAUCAAUUUUCCCCCAACUUGAGGCGCGAAAAAAAAAACACCACCUACGACUCUGCAACCGCCUCUCUUGGCACUCUUAGUUACCACUCAUGGCUAUCAUCGGGCUAAUCAAUGGAGUGGGUUUUCUCAUCUCUGUUAGAUAUUGACGAUGAAGAUUGCCAGCUUUGAGGCCUCUUCUCUGAUGGAUUGAUGUAGGUAUUUUAUUGAAUAUGUGAUGGACUAGACGUAAGGGUUUGAUGCUUCAUAAAUUGAGAUGAAUUGGUAUGUGAUGAUGGAAGGCGUAAGGGAGACUAGGAAGCGGAUUUGCUCUUUCUGUUUUUGUUUUUGAAUGCAGGGAAAAUGGUUUUAGAAGUAUGAUGAGGAGGAUGGGAAUGGAGAUGAAAAUGGUGGAAUGGCAUUCGUAAAAGCUNUGUGCGAUGGAGGAAAAUNGGGUUGUUUGAUAAGGUUUUUCUGAAUAGAUGUACUGAGAAUAAUGUUGUUGGUUUUGGUUACGGGUUGCAAGAGCUGAAGAGUGGAGGUGAGUGUCUGGGUAAUGUAUGAUGAUGAUGGUUGAUGGAUGAAUUUGUACUCUCUGUUUUGGGUGUUUUGCUAACUGGAAGAUGAAGUUGAAAUUGAAUGGGAGAAUCCAAUUCUGUUGAAGGUGAGGAAUUGGGAAUGUAAUGAAGGUGAAUGGAGAAUCUGUUGGGAUGGUUAUCGCUUAGGCAUAGCAGAGGAGUCCAGAGAAAAGGAAUGUGUGUCAUCAAUUUUGUUGGGUCAUGAGGUGUAGUGAGGGUGAUGGCAUUUUUGAGUGAUGAUUCUGUUGGAGGUGGUUCCCUCUCGGGUGUGUUGGGUGAUCCUAGUGAGGAUGAGGAUGAAAUUGGAUUCCCAAAAUCAAUUCCCUGUAACCAUUUUUCUCACAAUGCACCCUUCCAAAACAUGUCUCUGCUAACCAACUUUUUUCCC